Molecule: long non-coding RNA, 275 nt
Organism: Oppia nitens
Lineage: Eukaryota; Metazoa; Arthropoda; Arachnida; Sarcoptiformes; Oppiidae
Exons: 3
Source: RefSeq, a predicted model, not a curated record
AUUUAAUGAAAUGUUGGGGUGGAAAGGCUUUAAAAUAAUCGAUAAUUUGGGUCUAGAAAUAUAUAUUAUGCACGUCUUUUUCUUUGUCUACAGAAUUGGUUCCCAACGAGAACUGAGGACUUAUACAGAGUAUUACAUCUGGUCGGUAUCGUUGUUUGAUUUUUUCGGCACUUAUGUACUGUCAGUGAUAACUGCUUUUCUGGUCACCCGACCCUUCACUGCAAUGACCAAUGCGUGGUUAAAACCAAAAACUUUAUCAAAAACAAAGACAAAUG